RNAcentral lists this small nuclear RNA (105 nucleotides) under Aotus nancymaae (Ma's night monkey). The record is from RNAcentral. Lineage: Eukaryota; Metazoa; Chordata; Mammalia; Primates; Aotidae.
GUGCUUGCUUUAGCAGAAUAUACACUAAAAUUGGAAGGUACACAGAAAGGUAGCACGGCCCUGCAUAACGGUAUCAAGCAAAUUUGGGAAGCAUUCCAUAUUUUU